CCCUUAGAUGCUCUGGGCCGCACGCGCGCUACACUGGUCGAUGCAACGAGUUUCUUUCCUUGGCCGACAGGCCUGGGCAAUCUUUGAACAUCGAUCGUGAUCGGGAUAGAUUCUUGUAAUUUUUGAUCUUAAACGAGGAAUUCCUAGUAAACGCAAGUCAUCAGCUUGCAUUGAUUACGUCCCUGCCCUUUGUACACACCGCCCGUCGCACCUACCGAUUGAAUGGUCCGGUGAAAUCUCCGGACUGGCGUGAGUCGGAGCAAUCUGACAAACGCCGGAAAGUUGAUUAAACCUUAUCAUUUAGAGGAAGGUGAAGUCGUAACA
This 324-nucleotide ribosomal RNA is filed under the name uncultured eukaryote. RNAcentral's name for it is "partial 18S ribosomal RNA". It matches the Rfam family "Eukaryotic small subunit ribosomal RNA", at positions 1470 to 1796 of the family's 1831-position model. The record is from RNAcentral.